AUUAGUAUUCUUGGUCAACUAAAAUCAUUCGACCUGGUGGGAGGAGAUUGCUUGGUGCACAUUAUGAGGAUGGUUCCUAAAGGAAUCAAUGUCUUCCAGAAUUUGAAAUGGCUUAAGGUGGCAUCUUGUAACAGGUUGAGGUACUUAUUCCCGGCUUCUAUGAUUAACUUGUUGGUGUCUUUAAAAACUCUAUACGUCGGUUAUUGUAGCGAAAUUGAAGAAAUCUUUGCGAGAGAAGAAGAAGAAGAAAGAACGUCUAGCGAAAUUGUGUUUCCCGAAUUAAGGAGAAUAGAACUAAUCGAUCUUCCAAGCUAAAUGUGCCAAAGCUGAAGGGAGUACAAAUAGGAAAAGACGAAGUCAUUGACAUUUCCAAUUUCCUAAGAUUGUGACGUAGGUUUCGUCUAGAAUCCACCUUCAAGUAGCUAGAAUAGAAGACAAAGUAAUCGUUGUCGGUUUGAAGGGUGGCCACGUCUCCAACGUCAGAUUUACGUGGGAAAGGGUUGAGAGGGAGAGAAUGAGGCUGCAGGGAAGGGUUGAGAAAGAGAGAUGGAGAGAGAG
Olea europaea var. sylvestris is the source of this 558-nucleotide long non-coding RNA. RefSeq lists it as uncharacterized. NCBI's taxonomy places the organism in Eukaryota, Viridiplantae, Streptophyta, Magnoliopsida, Lamiales, Oleaceae. The record is from RefSeq and is a predicted model, not a curated record. The transcript has 3 exons.